Molecule: ribosomal RNA, 240 nt
Filed under: uncultured eukaryote
Lineage: Eukaryota
Description: partial 18S ribosomal RNA
Rfam family: Eukaryotic small subunit ribosomal RNA
Source: RNAcentral
GGAAAACUCACCCGGCCCGGACACCGCGAGGAUUGACAGACUGAGAGCUCUUUCUCGAUUCGGUGGGUGGUGGUGCAUGGCCGUUCUUAGUUGGUGGAGCGAUCUGUCUGGUUAAUUCCGAUAACGAACGAGACCCCAACCUGCUAACUAGCCCUCGGGUCCUGCUUCUGUUGGGCCCGACGGAAUGAUUCGCUUCUUAGAGGGACUCGCGGCGCCUAGCCGCACGAAGGGGGGCGAUAA